Molecule: ribosomal RNA, 521 nt
Filed under: uncultured bacterium
Lineage: Bacteria
Description: bacterial SSU rRNA
Rfam family: Bacterial small subunit ribosomal RNA
Source: RNAcentral
AGAGUUUGAUCCUGGCUCAGGACGAACGCUGGCGGCGUGCUUAAGACAUGCAAGUCGAGCGGACCGUAUACGGCAGUGGGGUAGAGCGUGAGCUCCGCUCCCGCCGAGGUCAGCGGCGGACGGGUGAGGAACACGUGGAUAACCUGCCUGACGAUCUGGGAUAACAAGCCGAAAGGUUUGCUAAUACCGGAUAAGCUCACGGAGCCGCAUGGCUCUGGGAGAAAAGGCGCUGCAAGGCGCUGUAGUCAGAGGGGUCCGCGGCCCAUUAGCUAGUUGGUGAGGUAACGGCUCACCAAGGCCACGAUGGGUAGCCGGCCUGAGAGGGUGGCCGGCCACACUGGAACUGAGAAACGGUCCAGACUCCUACGGGAGGCAGCAGUCGGGAAUUUUGGGCAAUGGCCGAAAGGCUGACCCAGCAACGCCGCGUGAGUGAAGAAGGCCUUCGGGUUGUAAAGCUCUGUUGCCCGUGAAGAACGGUACGUUCAGGAAAUGGGAUGUACUGACGGUAGCGGAGAGAGCCC